Molecule: non-coding RNA, 89 nt
Organism: Lupinus angustifolius (narrow-leaved blue lupine)
Lineage: Eukaryota; Viridiplantae; Streptophyta; Magnoliopsida; Fabales; Fabaceae
Source: Rfam
UUGUUUGUGAUGAUUAUAAAAAAUUCCUCGUACUGAUUGCUAUUGCCAUAGCGUGACAGACACGAUUACACCCAUAGAAUAUGAGCAAC